Molecule: transfer RNA, 77 nt
Filed under: Gobiobotia filifer
Lineage: Eukaryota; Metazoa; Chordata; Actinopteri; Cypriniformes; Gobionidae
Description: tRNA-Lys
Source: RNAcentral
CACUAGAAAGCUAAUUAUUGGACAAAGCGUCGGCCUUUAAGCCAAAAGUAUGGUGAUGGCCGACCACCUCUAGUGAA